AUAGUUAUACUUUGACCUAUGAUCUUUUCACAAACGCAUUCUUUGCAUAUAGGACAAUUUUUGAGGCGUUCUGUUGGCAUCUAGGGGCUAAGUGUGUUGGUGGUAAAUGGUGGUCCCGACUGGACUUGAACCAGCGACCCCUACCA
Molecule: non-coding RNA, 146 nt
Organism: Helicobacter bizzozeronii CIII-1
Lineage: Bacteria; Pseudomonadati; Campylobacterota; Epsilonproteobacteria; Campylobacterales; Helicobacteraceae
Rfam family: Bacterial antisense RNA HPnc0260
Source: Rfam